UACAGAGGUGGCAAGCGUUGUUCGGAAUUACUGGGCGUAAAGGGCGCGUAGGCGGCCUUCUAAGUCAGACGUGAAAUCCCCCGGCUUAACCUGGGAACUGCGUCUGAUACUGGGAGGCUAGAGUAUGGGAGAGGGAUGUAGAAUUCCAGGUGUAGCGGUGAAAUGCGUAGAUAUGUGGAGGAACACCGAUGGCGAAGGCAGCCCCCUGGGUUAACACUGACGCUCAUGCACGAAAGCGUGGGGAGCAAACAGG
RNAcentral lists this ribosomal RNA (253 nucleotides) under uncultured bacterium. RNAcentral describes it as "partial 16S ribosomal RNA". It matches the Rfam family "Bacterial small subunit ribosomal RNA", at positions 524 to 776 of the family's 1533-position model. The record is from RNAcentral.